UAGGGAAUCUUCGGCAAUGGACGAAAGUCUGACCGAGCAACGCCGCGUGAGUGAAGAAGGUUUUCGGAUCGUAAAACUCUGUUGUUAGAGAAGAACAAGGACGUUAGUAACUGAACGUCCCCUGACGGUAUCUAACCAGAAAGCCACGGCUAACUACGUGCCAGCAGCCGCGGUAAUACGUAGGUGGCAAGCGUUGUCCGGAUUUAUUGGGCGUAAAGCGAGCGCAGGCGGUUUCUUAAGUCUGAUGUGAAAGCCCCCGGCUCAACCGGGGAGGGUCAUUGGAAACUGGGAGACUUGAGUGCAGAAGAGGAGAGUGGAAUUCCAUGUGUAGCGGUGAAAUGCGUAGAUAUAUGGAGGAACACCAGUGGCGAAGGCGGCUCUCUGGUCUGUAACUGACGCUGAGGCUCGAAAGCGUGGGAAGCAAACAGG
Molecule: ribosomal RNA, 429 nt
Filed under: Gemmatimonadota bacterium
Lineage: Bacteria; Pseudomonadati; Gemmatimonadota
Description: Gemmatimonadetes bacterium partial 16S ribosomal RNA
Rfam family: Bacterial small subunit ribosomal RNA
Source: RNAcentral